Molecule: ribosomal RNA, 751 nt
Filed under: uncultured bacterium
Lineage: Bacteria
Description: bacterial SSU rRNA
Rfam family: Bacterial small subunit ribosomal RNA
Source: RNAcentral
AGUCGACGGCAGCACGGACUUCGGUCUGGUGGCGAGUGGCGAACGGGUGAGUAAUAUAUCGGAACGUGCCCAGUCGUGGGGGAUAACGUAGUGAAAAUUACGCUAAUACCGCAUACGAUCUAAGGAUGAAAGCGGGGGAUCGCAAGACCUCGCGCGAUUGGAGCGGCCGAUAUCAGAUUAGGUAGUUGGUGAGGUAAAGGCUCACCAAGCCAACGAUCUGUAGCUGGUCUGAGAGGACGACCAGCCACACUGGAACUGAGACACGGUCCAGACUCCUACGGGAGGCAGCAGUGGGGAAUUUUGGACAAUGGACGCAAGUCUGAUCCAGCCAUUCCGCGUGCAGGACGAAGGCCUUCGGGUUGUAAACUGCUUUUGUACAGAACGAAAAGGUCUCUAUUAAUACUAGGGGCUCAUGACGGUACUGUAAGAAUAAGCACCGGCUAACUACGUGCCAGCAGCCGCGGUAAUACGUAGGGUGCAAGCGUUAAUCGGAAUUACUGGGCGUAAAGCGUGCGCAGGCGGUUAUAUAAGACAGAUGUGAAAUCCCCGGGCUCAACCUGGGAACUGCAUUUGUGACUGUAUAGCUGGAGUGCGGCAGAAGGGGGGUGGAAUUCCGCGUGUAGCAGUGAAAUGCGUAGAUAUGCGGAGGAACACCGAUGGCGAAGGCAAUCCCCUGGGCCUGCACUGACGCUCAUGCACGAAAGCGUGGGGAGCAAACAGGAUUAGAUACCCUGGUAGUCACGCCCUAACG